This 468-nucleotide ribosomal RNA is filed under the name uncultured bacterium. RNAcentral's name for it is "partial 16S ribosomal RNA". It matches the Rfam family "Bacterial small subunit ribosomal RNA", at positions 28 to 507 of the family's 1533-position model. The record is from RNAcentral.
GACGAACGCUGGCGGCGUGCUUAACACAUGCGAGUCGAACGGAAAGGCCCUGCUUUUGUGGGGUGCUCGAGUGGCGAAAGGGUGAGUAACACGUGAGUAACCUGCCCUUGACUUUGGGAUAACUUCAGGAAACUGGGGCUAAUACCGGAUAGGAGCUCCUGCUGCAUGGUGGGGGUUGGAAAGCUUCGGCGGUUGGGGAUGGACUCGCGGCUUAUCAGCUUGUUGGUGGGGUAGUGGCUUACCAAGGCUUUGACGGGUAGCCGGCCUGAGAGGGUGACCGGCCACAUUGGGACUGAGAUACGGCCCAGACUCCUACGGGAGGCAGCAGUGGGGAAUAUUGCACAAUGGGCGGAAGCCUGAUGCAGCAACGCCGCGUGCGGGAUGACGGCCUUCGGGUUGUAAACCGCUUUCGCCUGUGACGAAGCGUGAGUGACGGUAAUGGGUAAAGAAGCACCGGCUAACUACGUG